This is a long non-coding RNA of Homo sapiens (human), 1822 nucleotides long. Ensembl annotates it as zinc finger protein 252, pseudogene. Its record names the gene ZNF252P. NCBI's taxonomy places the organism in Eukaryota, Metazoa, Chordata, Mammalia, Primates, Hominidae. The record is from Ensembl.
GUUCGCGCUCCUUCCCUUCCCGUGGUCGAGCCGAGUCCUGACCUGAGGGCUGCAUCAAGAUCUUGUCAUUCCACAUCGUGGUUUCCUUUGAGGAUGUGGCUGUACCCCUCUCCCAGGAGGAGUGGGACUGUCUGAUCCCUGCUCAGAGGGGCCUCUACAAGGAUGUGAUGAUGGGGACCUAUGGGAACCUACUCUCAUUAGGUAAGUUCCCUCCCUGGGGCUCAGCUCCUGGGCUUCCUGCUCCUUAACCUUGAGGAUCAAGCUUGGGGCUCAGAGGCUCCUCACCCCCUGGGCCCAAAGACCAGACAUUUUGACCAUGGUACCAUGCAGGUCUGGUUUGCACAGAGAGGGGGACAGGUGGUACUGGGACCCUCCUUGAUUUUUUUUUUUAAUAGGCAAUGUCUCACUCUGUUGCCCAUCCUGGAGUGCAGUGGUGAGACCAUAGCUCACUGUAACCUUGACGUCUUUGGUUGAAGAGAUCCUCCUACCUCAGCCUCCCAAGUACCUGAGACUACAGGCAUGGGCCACCAUGCCUGUCUUAUUUUACUUUUUUAGAGACAGAGCCUCUGUGUUGCCCAGGUUGGUCUCAAACUCCUAGCCUCAAGGAAUCCUCCCACCUUGGCCUCCCAUGCCUUUCCAACCCUCCCUGAUUUAUAGAAGGAGAAUAUUAUUCAUUGCACACCUAGUACCUCCCUAUCCCCUGAAUUAAUCUUUCUGCAUCUUGAUGAUCGGUGGUAGGAUACACAGUUUAUAAACGAACCUGAGGCUAACAAAUACUGUCACUUUUCUUAAGUUUACACAGCCUAUUGGUGGCAGAUCUGGGAUAUGGAUCUGUUCGGUUUCAGAGCCCUGCUUUCCUUUCACUGGAAUGUGCUCUUCGCUUUAGCCCUUUUUUUUUUUUUUUUUUGGUUUCUGCUAGCCUUUAUUUGAGAAAAUUUACACAAAAAUCCCCAAUGCAACAUUUACAAGUGAAUCUGUAUAAAUCCCAUAUGCCUCUUUCCCAAACUGAAAAAUGGCUUUAUGACAGGGGUCCAUGACAAUGGUAUAAAAAUACUUACUUAAACUGCAUCAUUCUCAUUUAUAUUAUACAGACCAUUUUGGAUAAUAUGCUCAAAAGUGGAGGAAAGCACAUAACACCCCUGUUUUUAAAGAUUAUUUGCUCUUGUAUCAGUCUUUUGUCAAAGGCAAAUACUUUUACUUCUUGGAUAAAACCAAGGUAUAAUAUCAAUUAACUUUUAAACCAAAAGCACAAAAUGUCCUAGUUGAUAGUUUUGGCAUGAGUAAAGGGAAGGGACAUGAGAGAACAUCAGCUCCUACAAAGCUUAAGUUUAGGGUCACACUUGGGAACAAAAGCAUCAACAAAACAAAAUAUUCUCUUCUCCUAUCUUCUUGACAUUUUGUCACAUCAGAAGAACAUAACUAACAGAGUAGCUUUCAUUGCUCCUGAAAAGGGGAAAGGCACCAGUCAGAAAUAGGAAAGAAAAUCUUGUUAGGUUAAUGGUACAUGAUAGAAUUUCACAUUAAAAAGUUUAAUGAUGGAGGAUGGGCGUAGUGGCUUACACAUGUAAUCCCAGCACUUUGGGAGGCUGAGGUCAGUGGAUCACUUGAGGUCAGGAGUUCAAGACCAUCCCGGCCAACACGGUGAAACUCCAUCUCUACCAAAAAUACAAAAACCAGCCAGGUGUGGUGGCAUGCACCUGCACUCCCAGCCACUCUGGAGGCCGAGGCGGAAGAACUACCCGAACCCAGGAGGUGAAGGUUGCAGCAAGCUGAGAUAGCACCAUUGCACUUCAGCCUGGGCAUCGCAGCAAGACUCUGUCCC